RNA transcript from Mirounga angustirostris (Northern elephant seal), 3206 nucleotides. It is a transcript of the gene named atherin-like, with no coding region annotated. The record is from RefSeq and is a predicted model, not a curated record. Lineage: Eukaryota; Metazoa; Chordata; Mammalia; Carnivora; Phocidae. The transcript is spliced from 3 exons.
UCUUCCCCCACCUCUCCAAAUAAUAAACAGCCUGGGCCUAGAUGACGUGAAGUGUGAUAAGAAAAGGUAGAUAUGGAACACGAGAUGUCUGUUAUUUUAUCUCAUCCUUGCCAGUUGUCAGACUGAAAUUUCAGAAAACACCCCCAAACUUCCAAAAAGAUCCCAAGCGAGGAAGAUGAACGUUAAGUCCCCGUGAAGGAAACCAAUAGGGUAAGGGGGUAAAGGAAACCCCGAACUGUGCACGGAGGCGAUGAGGGCGUGUAGCCAGAAAAGGGAGAGGGACUGCAGGACGCUCGGGGGGAGAACCUGGAAUGGGAUUAAAGUCCGCCGGGCGAGCCUUUCCCCCGCGGCCGCGCGGCGUCGCCUAAUUCAGGACACCCAACCGGGGUCCAAAGUGUCCGCGCAGCGAAUGCUCGCGCCCUUCCCGGUUCCUCCGCUCCUACCGCACCCGGGGCGCCGUUCGCCCCGUCGGACCCCUCCCCGAGGACCAGCAGCACAGAGGACACGAGCCCGACCCUCAGCGCAGCCCGCAGCCGCCUCGGCUCGGGGCCGCCGCAUGGGCCACCCACACCCUGGACCGCAACCGGACCGCCGCGUCGCCGACGACCCCAGCCCCGAGCCCCAGCUGCCGCGGCCGGAACGAGCGCCGCCGCCCCACACUCACCGCGGCGCUCCAUCCCGCGUCUCGGACGCGGACGCCCGCCCAACACUCACGGCCGCCGCCGCCUCCGCCGAGGGCUGGAGCUCGCCGCCCCCAUCCCCCACGGCCCGCGGACGCCGGGCCAAGCCGCCGCCGCCGCCGCCGCCGCCCCAGCAGCUACGGCCACCACCACGCCGCCCCGCUCGCUCCGCCCCCCAGGCCUCGCACCGCCCGCCCGGCCGCGGCCCGCCCCCUGAGGCCCAGCCCAUUGGCCCGCGCGCCCGAGGGGGGCGGGGCUCCGGCGCCCUGCAGCAGGUGGGGGCGGCUGCCGGCUCCAGCACGCGGAGCGCGGGUUGUCCUCGGUGCCCCAGCGGGCAGGCUGUCCCCAACAUUGCAGGACGUGUUAGCCACCGUGUGCGGCUUGCGGCGCGACAGGCGGAGCGAACCUUAGGCACAAGGCACCUUUUGUAUCGUCCAGCAGGUGGAACAGACAGUGUUUUAAAUUGUGAAGCACGUGGGUUGCUCUUCAAAAUAAAUGCAUUUGGAAUCCCGCAGAGAAAAUUCUAACCAAGUUGGAACCAUCUAAAAUACAAAUUCAUUCAUUCAGCAAACACUGGGUAAAUAUUCCACAGUGUGAUCUGCCAGACAAGGAGAGAGGAGAAGGAAGACAAAAGAGCAGGCUGGUGAUUUGCUUUUCCCUACAAUCCCUACUGGAGGGUUGGUUAGAGUUAUUCUUCUCCAUCUCCAAGAUGUAGCACUGGAAGGGAAAACAACCCAAGCUCCUGGGAGCAGAGGGGUUAAGUACUCUGGGGAAAAUAAAUACAUCUUGGUAACUCCAAAUUGUCUUCAAAUUUUAUGUUUAUUGGCCAGUUAAUAAUAUCUUCUAAGGAAUUUUUCUGUACACGGAUAACAUCCCCAUUCCUAAUUCUGCUAAUUGCACAAAGCCAUGAGAUGGUUUGAGGUUCAUUCGUACACACACACACACACACACACACACAGUGUAUUUUGUACAGUUUAGGAUCCUCUGCUUCCCUUAAAGGGGAAGUACUGAGAACAGCCAUUCUGCUGUGGACUUAAUAAAAGGUAAGAAUUGGAAGGGAAUUUGGUUUUUGGUUUUUGUUUUUAUUAUGUCCAGUUAGCCACUGUAUAGUACAUCAUUAGUUUUUGAUGUCGUGUUCCAUGAUUCAUUAGUUGCCUAUAACACCCAGUGCUCAUCACAACACGUGCCCUCCUCAAUACCCAUCAUCUGGCUACCCCGUCCCCCCACCCCCGUCCCUUCUGAAACCCUCAGUUUGUUUCCCGGAGUCCAUAGUCUCUCAUGGUUCAUGGUUUGUCUCCCUUUCUGAUUUCUCCCCCUUUAGUUUUCUCUCCCUUCCCCUAUGGUCCUCCGAGCUAUGAAAGGGAAUUUGAAAACCUUGUCCAAACCUUUUCCUUUAUAGAUAAGGAAAAGGCAGCCAAAAGGGGUUCAGUGAUUUUCCCUGAAGUUACACAGCUAGUGCCUGGCAUACCAAAGCCUCAAAUCCAUCCUUGGGGUGCAUGCGUGCAUGUGUGUGUUUCUCACCACAUCUAGGGAAGAAACGUCUUGAGAGAUAUUCUGAAACUCAUUAAAAAAUUAACCUAAUGGAGGUUGAAAUUGAGGGUGUCUUAAUUAGUUAUUAAAUUUAUUAAACCAGACUUUGCUGUGGACCUUCAGGGAACAGUCACAUUAAAAUAUUUUAAGCCAUAUAAAAACCUCACUUUAAUUACUAAGUAGGCACGCUAGCCUGGAAAGAUGGGUUUUGGACCAGCCCAACAGUCAAUAAAUGAGAACAAAUGCUUCCAGCCUUCACAGCAUUAGGCUGCUCACCUGGGAGAACUGCUGCCUUCCCUUGUCAUAGGCCCUCGAGGAAGUGGAGCGAUGAGUACUGAAUUCAAGCUUAUGGGGUAAAGGCACAAAUGGGACCAGUAGGAAAGAUACUAACUUCUGAUGUGCAAGCGAUAGGACGGUAAUAAUAUUGAUCAAUCUGCAUUUGUAAGGAACCCAAGUAGUCUAAUUACUACGUACAUUUGUAACACACCAAGUUGACUCACCACUUGUUAUUAAUCCGGCUAGCAUUCAUAGCAGUGCUGGACAGCAGCGUCCUACUUUCCAGCUUCUUUGACCAUUUGGCCAUGUUCGCUGUUUCUCAGGGUUUCCUUUUGUCCGUUAACACCGUGGUUCUCAAAGAGCAGCUGUGAGGGUCCUCCAGAUGGUUAAUCUCUAGAAGUCUGAAUAUCUCUGCGUAGAUUAGUGAGCAGCUGCUUAUGGUAUGAAGCAGUGCCUCACUCGCCCUGCGAUUUCAUGCCCCUCUUUGUCUCUGCUACCCUCUCGGCCCGGAUCGCCUGCCUCUCUUCUCCGACUGACGCCCUUGUACGUUAUGCUCCAAAGAGGACUUUCCAAUGUCACCUGUCGGUGAGGUUUCUCCCUGACCCCAGAGGGCUGACCCUACUCUCUCCUUUUACUCUAUGCCAUUUCACUUAGCACAGAACCUCUGUUACAACACUUUCAGAGCCGAUCCAAAUCACGGAUUUACUUGUCUUUUUUUUU